Molecule: long non-coding RNA, 893 nt
Filed under: Lonchura striata (white-rumped munia)
Lineage: Eukaryota; Metazoa; Chordata; Aves; Passeriformes; Estrildidae
Description: domestica (Bengalese finch) lncRNA (ENSLSDG00000008041.1)
Source: RNAcentral
UGACAGCAUGAAAGACAGAAAGCCUUGACCAGCAGGAGGAUGGGGGAGUCCAACUGAAGAUUUGGAUGAAAACCUCUGGUAAAAUGGCAGCUUUUGCAAAGUUCAGUGUGGGCAGUGUGGUGCUUUUCAUGCGUGUUGGGUGCCUGACCAGUGUUUAUCCUGCACAGACUCCAAGGGAGAGGGACACCACUGGAAGGGCACAAGGACACCUCAUCCAAAGCCCAGGAUCCACUUUCCUGCUGCAUUCAGAAGGUGCUGCUGGGGGAAUUGCACUGAUUCUAACAGCUCCAAAGGUCAAGAUUUAUUUUUAAUAUUUUUUUCCCAGACUUCUUAAAUCUACUGAUCAAUUUUCCAUAUUUGUAGUGAUAGUAACGUUUGAGUGGCAGCAGAUACCUAAUUUAUACCUAAAUUUGAUUUAGGUUUGAUUUGCCAUUUCAUAGCAAGACUCUUAAAAGGGAGGGGAGUGAUAUUAAUAUUUCACAUGGUUGGGAGAGGAAAUGCCUGGCAAUCCCAGGGGAAGAGUCACAGCACCUGUGCUGAACUCACCCAGAUUUUUGGCAGGAAUGAUCUAAUUGCUCAUUGUGAGUGGAACAGAAAACAAUUCUGACACAAAGCAAGAGAAGGUUUCAAUGAGCUGGAGAAAGUAACAGAAAUAGGUUGUGUGUUAAAAGAAAUAUCAGGGGGUAGAGGAUGAAUACCAAAAAUCUAACCAAAUUAAUUCUUCCUUCUUUUAUUUUUGCUGUGUUUCCAUCUUUCCAGUUGCUGUGUUUCCUUUCCAAAGCAAGGAUGGGGCAGGAGUUUAGGAGAGUCUUGUUCAGGUGAGUCUUGCUGAUAAAGCAACUUGGGUUUCUGUGAUCAAUCUGCUUAAUUAACUAAAAAUGCAGAACUGAAGA